AUGGUCUGCGUUUGGAAAGAUUUUUCGGUUGGGGAUGGGCUCGCGGCCUAUCAGCUUGUUGGUGAGGUAAUGGCUCACCAAGGCGUCGACGGGUAGCCGGCCUGAGAGGGUGACCGGCCACACUGGGACUGAGACACGGCCCAGACUCCUACGGGAGGCAGCAGUGGGGAAUAUUGCACAAUGGGCGGAAGCCUGAUGCAGCAACGCCGCGUGAGGGAUGACGGCCUUCGGGUUGUAAACCUCUUUUAGCAGGGAAGAAGCGAAAGUGACGGUACCUGCAGAAAAAGCGCCGGCUAACUACGUGCCAGCAGCCGCGGUAAUACGUAGGGCGCAAGCGUUAUCCGGAAUUAUUGGGCGUAAAGAGCUCGUAGGCGGUUUGUCGCGUCUGCUGUGAAAUCCCGAGGCUCAACCUCGGGCCUGCAGUGGGUACGGGCAGACUAGAGUGCGGUAGGGGAGAUUGGAAUUCCUGGUGUAGCGGUGGAAUGCGCAGAUAUCAGGAGGAACACCGAUGGCGAAGGCAGAUCUCUGGGCCGUAACUGACGCUGAGGAGCGAAAGGGUGGGGAGCAAACAGGCUUAGAUACCCUGGUAGUCCACCCCGUAAACGUUGGGAACUAGUUGUGGGGUCCAUUCCACGGAUUCCGUGACGCAGCUAACGCAUUAAGUUCCCCGCCUGGGGAGUACGGCCGCAAGGCUAAAACUCAAAGGAAUUGACGGGGACCCGCACAAGCGGCGGAGCAUGCGGAUUAAUUCGAUGCAACGCGAAGAACCUUACCAAGGCUUGACAUAUACGAGAACGGGCCAGAAAUGGUCAACUCUUUGGACACUCGUAAACAGGUGGUGCAUGGUUGUCGUCAGCUCGUGUCGUGAGAUGUUGGGUUAAGUCCCGCAACGAGCGCAACCCUCGUUCUAUGUUGCCAGCACGUAAUGGUGGGAACUCAUGGGAUACUGCCGGGGUCAACUCGGAGGAAGGUGGGGAUGACGUCAAAUCAUCAUGCCCCUUAUGUCUUGGGCUUCACGCAUGCUACAAUGGCCGGUACAAAGGGCUGCAAUACCGUGAGGUGGAGCGAAUCCCAAAAAGCCGGUCCCAGUUCGGAUUGAGGUCUGCAA
Molecule: ribosomal RNA, 1108 nt
Filed under: Microbacterium sp. XSW001
Lineage: Bacteria; Bacillati; Actinomycetota; Actinomycetes; Micrococcales; Microbacteriaceae
Description: bacterial SSU rRNA
Rfam family: Bacterial small subunit ribosomal RNA
Source: RNAcentral